GUGACCCUCACACCAGCUCCGGGGACCCGCAGCCUUAGCAACAGUAACUAGGGACACUACCCAAGGAGCCCCGCGGCAGCCAAGACUCCGCCUCCUCGUCCUAAUUGGUCGUGCCGGAGAGGGGAGGGCUAAGGCCCAGCUCUGCCCAAGACAGGCACCAGUGAAGUGAAAUCAGUGGUGAGAAUUCUGUCCCUCUCUUAAAAAAUGACCAAGUUGCUCAAGAGGCCUGAGGGUGAAAUGCUAACUCUGCUAGCUGCAGAUGGAAAUUUUAUGAAAGGUGCAGCCAGCAAGGU
Ochotona princeps (American pika) is the source of this 293-nucleotide long non-coding RNA. RefSeq lists it as uncharacterized. The transcript has 3 exons. Lineage: Eukaryota; Metazoa; Chordata; Mammalia; Lagomorpha; Ochotonidae. The record is from RefSeq and is a predicted model, not a curated record.